This 773-nucleotide ribosomal RNA is filed under the name uncultured Vagococcus sp. RNAcentral describes it as "bacterial SSU rRNA". It matches the Rfam family "Bacterial small subunit ribosomal RNA", at positions 28 to 776 of the family's 1533-position model. Lineage: Bacteria; Bacillati; Bacillota; Bacilli; Lactobacillales; Enterococcaceae. The record is from RNAcentral.
GACGAACGCUGGCGGCGUGCCUAAUACAUGCAAGUCGAACGCACGAAGUUGAAGAGCUUGCUCUUUAACCAAGUGAGUGGCGGACGGGUGAGUAACACGUGGGUAACCUGCCCAUUAGAGGGGGAUAACAUUCGGAAACGGAUGCUAAUACCGCAUAGUUUCAGGAAUCGCAUGAUUCUUGAAGGAAAGGUGGCUUCGGCUACCACUAAUGGAUGGACCCGCGGCGUAUUAGCUAGUUGGUGAGGUAAUGGCUCACCAAGGCAAUGAUACGUAGCCGACCUGAGAGGGUGAUCGGCCACACUGGGACUGAGACACGGCCCAGACUCCUACGGGAGGCAGCAGUAGGGAAUCUUCCGCAAUGGACGAAAGUCUGACGGAGCAACGCCGCGUGAGUGAAGAAGGUUUUCGGAUCGUAAAACUCUGUUGUUAAAGAAGAACAAGGAUGAGAGUAACUGCUCAUCCCCUGACGGUAUUUAACCAGAAAGCCACGGCUAACUACGUGCCAGCAGCCGCGGUAAUACGUAGGUGGCAAGCGUUGUCCGGAUUUAUUGGGCGUAAAGCGAGCGCAGGCGGUUCUUUAAGUCUGAUGUGAAAGCCCCCGGCUCAACCGGGGAGGGUCAUUGGAAACUGGAGAACUUUGAGUGCAGAAGAGGAGAGUGGAAUUCCACGUGUAGCGGUGAAAUGCGUAGAUAUGUGGAGGAACACCAGUGGCGAAAGCGACUCUCUGGUCUGUAACUGACGCUGAGGCUCGAAAGCGUGGGGUAGCAGACAGG